Molecule: long non-coding RNA, 831 nt
Filed under: Pongo abelii (Sumatran orangutan)
Lineage: Eukaryota; Metazoa; Chordata; Mammalia; Primates; Hominidae
Description: lincRNA
Source: RNAcentral
AUCCCAUUUAUAAGAAAUAUUCAGAAUAGGUAAAUCCAUAGAGACAAAAGGAGAUUUGUAGUUGCCAGGAGUUGGAGGCAAGAAGGGUUUAACAGGUGUGCUUAAUGGGGCCUCCUAUGCAGUUGACGAAAAUGUUUUGGGCUAGAUAAGAGUGAUGGUUGCAUAACAUUGUACUAAAUGUCACUGAAUUCUGCUCUUUAAAAUUUUGAGUUUUAUUUUAUGUGGCGUGUACCCUCAAAAAAAAAAAUAGAGGUGCAGUGCUCCAGCAUGGGAUGAGGCAGCGUGGACAGGAGCAUCUCCCAACCGCAGUGAAGUCUGAGCCGCGUGCCUGCAACAAUCCCACUGUGGCAGAGAACCGCAGAGUUCCUUCCGGUUUGGCAGCAGUCAUUCGCCACCUCACAGCCCUCUGGAACCCCAGCCUGGGGGUCUCAGAACGCCGAGGCGGGGACUGGGAGCCGAGUCGGAUUCCGAGACUGUGUGGGCUAGGUUUGGCUGGAUUCAGUUACCUGGCUGAGGCCUAGUGAGCAAAAUAUCCCAAACCUCGCGUGAUUUGGAAGCGGAAGCCGGAUAAAUACGGAUCUCCAGAUGUGCCAGUCUAGAGUCUAUCGUUAUGAGGUUCCCCCUAGAGUUUCUAUUCAUCAUUUUAACCGCAUUUCAUCGAUCUUGAGACACGGCUUUUGAUAUUUUAUCACCUCAAGAUAAAUAGUGUUAGAUGUCUAACAGCAGCGUUUUUCUAAGAGAUACAUGAAACAACAGUGAGUGUCAGAAACGAUGCUGUCUUCCAUGCAAUGAAAUUGUUGUAAUAGGUGCUCAGUAAAUGUUGACAAUAAA